Molecule: ribosomal RNA, 119 nt
Filed under: Nicotiana attenuata
Lineage: Eukaryota; Viridiplantae; Streptophyta; Magnoliopsida; Solanales; Solanaceae
Source: RNAcentral
GGAUGCGAUCAUACCAGCACUAACGCACCGGAUCCCAUCAGAACUCCGAAGCUAAGCGUGCUUGGGCGAGAGUAGUACAAGGAUGGGUGACCCCCUGGGAAGUCCUCUUGUUGCAUCCC